GACGAACGCUGGCGGCGUGCCUAAUACAUGCAAGUUGAGCGAUGAAGAUUGGUUCUUGCACCAAUUUCGAGAGCAGCGCACGGGUGAGUAACGCGUGUGGAAUCUGCCUUUGAUCGGGGUACAACAUUUAGAAACGAAUGCUAAUACCGCAUAACAACUUUAAACAUAAUUUUGAAUGUUGAAAUAUGCAAUUGCAUCACUCAAACAUGAUCCCGCGUUGUAUUAGCUGGUUGGUGAGGUAAAGGCUCACCAAGGCGAUGAUACAUAGCCGACCUGAGAGGGUGAUCGGCCACAUUGGGACGGAGACACGGCACAAACGCCUACGGGAGGCAGCAGUAGGGCAUCUUCGGCAAGGGACGAAAGUCUGACCGAGAAACGCGGAGUGAGUGAAGAAGGAUGUCGGAUCGGAAAACUCUGUUGGUAGGGAAGAACGUUGGUGAGCGUGGAAAGCUCAUCAAGUGACGGUAACUAGUCAGAAAGGGACGGCUAACUACGUG
Molecule: ribosomal RNA, 497 nt
Filed under: uncultured bacterium
Lineage: Bacteria
Description: partial 16S ribosomal RNA
Rfam family: Bacterial small subunit ribosomal RNA
Source: RNAcentral